Molecule: ribosomal RNA, 401 nt
Filed under: uncultured Bradyrhizobiaceae bacterium
Lineage: Bacteria; Pseudomonadati; Pseudomonadota; Alphaproteobacteria; Hyphomicrobiales; Nitrobacteraceae
Description: bacterial SSU rRNA
Rfam family: Bacterial small subunit ribosomal RNA
Source: RNAcentral
CCUGACGCAGCGACGCCGUGUGAGGGAAGAAGGCUUUCGGGUCGUAAACCUCUGUCGGGAAGGAAGAACCCCCCAGGUCCGAAUAGGGCCUGGGGCUGACGGUACUUCCAAAGGAAGCACCGGCUAACUCCGUGCCAGCAGCCGCGGUAAUACGAAGGGGGCUAGCGUUGCUCGGAAUCACUGGGCGUAAAGGGUGCGUAGGCGGGUUUCUAAGUCAGAGGUGAAAGCCUGGAGCUCAACUCCAGAACUGCCUUUGAUACUGGAAGUCUUGAGUUCGGGAGAGGUGAGUGGAACUGCGAGUGUAGAGGUGAAAUUCGUAGAUAUUCGCAAGAACACCAGUGGCGAAGGCGGCUCACUGGCCCGAUACUGACGCUGAGGCACGAAAGCGUGGGGAGCAAACA